This 1536-nucleotide ribosomal RNA is filed under the name Klebsiella pneumoniae. Its description in RNAcentral is "bacterial SSU rRNA". It matches the Rfam family "Bacterial small subunit ribosomal RNA". The record is from RNAcentral. Lineage: Bacteria; Pseudomonadati; Pseudomonadota; Gammaproteobacteria; Enterobacterales; Enterobacteriaceae.
UUGAAGAGUUUGAUCAUGGCUCAGAUUGAACGCUGGCGGCAGGCCUAACACAUGCAAGUCGAGCGGUAGCACAGAGAGCUUGCUCUCGGGUGACGAGCGGCGGACGGGUGAGUAAUGUCUGGGAAACUGCCUGAUGGAGGGGGAUAACUACUGGAAACGGUAGCUAAUACCGCAUAACGUCGCAAGACCAAAGUGGGGGACCUUCGGGCCUCAUGCCAUCAGAUGUGCCCAGAUGGGAUUAGCUAGUAGGUGGGGUAAUGGCUCACCUAGGCGACGAUCCCUAGCUGGUCUGAGAGGAUGACCAGCCACACUGGAACUGAGACACGGUCCAGACUCCUACGGGAGGCAGCAGUGGGGAAUAUUGCACAAUGGGCGCAAGCCUGAUGCAGCCAUGCCGCGUGUGUGAAGAAGGCCUUCGGGUUGUAAAGCACUUUCAGCGGGGAGGAAGGCGUUAAGGUUAAUAACCUUGGCGAUUGACGUUACCCGCAGAAGAAGCACCGGCUAACUCCGUGCCAGCAGCCGCGGUAAUACGGAGGGUGCAAGCGUUAAUCGGAAUUACUGGGCGUAAAGCGCACGCAGGCGGUCUGUCAAGUCGGAUGUGAAAUCCCCGGGCUCAACCUGGGAACUGCAUUCGAAACUGGCAGGCUAGAGUCUUGUAGAGGGGGGUAGAAUUCCAGGUGUAGCGGUGAAAUGCGUAGAGAUCUGGAGGAAUACCGGUGGCGAAGGCGGCCCCCUGGACAAAGACUGACGCUCAGGUGCGAAAGCGUGGGGAGCAAACAGGAUUAGAUACCCUGGUAGUCCACGCCGUAAACGAUGUCGAUUUGGAGGUUGUGCCCUUGAGGCGUGGCUUCCGGAGCUAACGCGUUAAAUCGACCGCCUGGGGAGUACGGCCGCAAGGUUAAAACUCAAAUGAAUUGACGGGGGCCCGCACAAGCGGUGGAGCAUGUGGUUUAAUUCGAUGCAACGCGAAGAACCUUACCUGGUCUUGACAUCCACAGAACUUUCCAGAGAUGGAUUGGUGCCUUCGGGAACUGUGAGACAGGUGCUGCAUGGCUGUCGUCAGCUCGUGUUGUGAAAUGUUGGGUUAAGUCCCGCAACGAGCGCAACCCUUAUCCUUUGUUGCCAGCGGUUAGGCCGGGAACUCAAAGGAGACUGCCAGUGAUAAACUGGAGGAAGGUGGGGAUGACGUCAAGUCAUCAUGGCCCUUACGACCAGGGCUACACACGUGCUACAAUGGCAUAUACAAAGAGAAGCGACCUCGCGAGAGCAAGCGGACCUCAUAAAGUAUGUCGUAGUCCGGAUUGGAGUCUGCAACUCGACUCCAUGAAGUCGGAAUCGCUAGUAAUCGUAGAUCAGAAUGCUACGGUGAAUACGUUCCCGGGCCUUGUACACACCGCCCGUCACACCAUGGGAGUGGGUUGCAAAAGAAGUAGGUAGCUUAACCUUCGGGAGGGCGCUUACCACUUUGUGAUUCAUGACUGGGGUGAAGUCGUAACAAGGUAACCGUAGGGGAACCUGCGGUUGGAUCACCUCCUU